UGGGGAAUUUUGGACAAUGGGCGCAAGCCUGAUCCAGCCAUGCCGCGUGCGGGAAGAAGGCCUUCGGGUUGUAAACCGCUUUUGUCGGGGAAGAAAAGCCUUGGGUUAAUACCCUGGGGUGAUGACGGUACCCGAAGAAUAAGCACCGGCUAACUACGUGCCAGCAGCCGCGGUAAUACGUAGGGUGCAAGCGUUAAUCGGAAUUACUGGGCGUACAGCGUGCGCAGGCGGUUGUGUAAGACAGAUGUGAAAUCCCUGGGCUCAACCUGGGAACUGCAUUUGUGACUGCACAGCUGGAGUGCGGCAGAGGGGGAUGGAAUUCCGCGUGUAGCGGUGAAAUUCGUAGAUAUACGAAGGAACACCGAUGGCGAAGGCAAUCCCCUGGGCCUGCACUGACGUUCAGGCACAAAAGCUUGGGGAGUAAAC
Molecule: ribosomal RNA, 426 nt
Filed under: uncultured bacterium
Lineage: Bacteria
Description: bacterial SSU rRNA
Rfam family: Bacterial small subunit ribosomal RNA
Source: RNAcentral